RNAcentral lists this ribosomal RNA (449 nucleotides) under uncultured bacterium. RNAcentral describes it as "partial 16S ribosomal RNA". It matches the Rfam family "Bacterial small subunit ribosomal RNA", at positions 329 to 793 of the family's 1533-position model. The record is from RNAcentral.
UACCAGACUCCUACGGGAGGCAGCAGUGGGGAAUAUUGGGCAAUGGGCGCAAGCCUGACCCAGCAACGCCGCGUGAAGGAAGAAGGCCCUCGGGUUGUAAACUUCUUUUAUCAGGGACGAAACAAAUGACGGUACCCGAAGAAAAAGCAUCGGCUAACUCCGUGCCAGCAGCCGCGGUAAUACGGAGGAUGCGAGCGUUAUCCGGAUUUAUUGGGUUUAAAGGGUGCGUAGGCGGUCCGGAAAGUCAGCGGUAGACGCGGGGGGCUCAACCCCGGCGAGCCGUUGAAACUGUCGGACUAGAGACGGCGAGAAGUACGCGGAAUGCGCGGUGUAGCGGAGAAAUGCAUAGAUAUCGCGCAGAACUCCGAUUGCGAAGGCAGCAUGCCGGCUCCACACUGACGCUGAGGCACGAAAGCGUGGGUAUCGAACAGGAUUAGAUACCCGGGUAG